This is a long non-coding RNA of Bradysia coprophila, 376 nucleotides long. RefSeq lists it as uncharacterized. NCBI's taxonomy places the organism in Eukaryota, Metazoa, Arthropoda, Insecta, Diptera, Sciaridae. The record is from RefSeq and is a predicted model, not a curated record.
GCGGUACAUUCAGUUCAGUAUAAAUUGAUUCAAUUUUCCGUUCAAUCUCAUAUUCAAGUUAUUGCAACUAGUCAAAGAUGAAGUAUACACUGGUGAUCAUCGCUCUGGCAUUAUUGGUUCAUUCGGUUGUCUCGAUGCCGGAUCCUAGCUCUGUCCAAGAUUGCCCGCCGUGCACUUGCGAUCCCUGUAAUCCACAACCAUUACAUCCGCGGCCGCAAUGUCAAUGCCACUGCAGGAAUCCAACCGGACCGUUUUAUUGUUAGAUGGCAUUGCUGUCGUUAAUUUUUCGUUUGCUAACGAAAUUUAUCAAAGAUAAAAGUGUAUGGAAGCAACUAACGAACUUAAUAAAACGCAAAAAAUAUUUAUUCUGAAAAAA